GCCGGGUGCGGUGGCAUGUGCCUGUAAUCCAAGUCACUGGGAGGCUUGAGGUUGGUGGAUCAAGUGAGCUGAGGAGCUCUGGGCAUGCAGCACACUAUGUGGAACGGGUGUUCCACGCUAGUUCGGUAUCGAUAUGGUGUUCCUGGGGGAGCCCGGGACCACCAGGUUGUCUAAGGAGGGGUGAACCGGCCCAGGUCGGAAACGAAGCAGGUCAAAUCCCCCGUGCUGUCCAGUAGUGGGAUAAUACCUGUGAGUAGAUGCUGCAGUGCAGCCUUGGCGAAACAUCGAGACCUAAUCUUUC
RNAcentral lists this signal recognition particle RNA (301 nucleotides) under Oncorhynchus kisutch (coho salmon). RNAcentral describes it as "Metazoan signal recognition particle RNA (ENSOKIG00005022668.1)". It matches the Rfam family "Metazoan signal recognition particle RNA". From Rfam's summary of the family: The signal recognition particle (SRP) is a universally conserved ribonucleoprotein. It is involved in the co-translational targeting of proteins to membranes. The record is from Rfam by way of RNAcentral. Lineage: Eukaryota; Metazoa; Chordata; Actinopteri; Salmoniformes; Salmonidae.